RNAcentral lists this ribosomal RNA (430 nucleotides) under uncultured bacterium. RNAcentral's name for it is "bacterial SSU rRNA". It matches the Rfam family "Bacterial small subunit ribosomal RNA", at positions 355 to 776 of the family's 1533-position model. The record is from RNAcentral.
UAGGGAAUAUUGCGCAAUGGGCGAAAGCCUGACGCAGCGAUACCGCGUGGGUGAGGAAGGUCUUCGGAUUGUAAAGCCCUGUCAAAGUGGAAAAAUGGCAUGAGGUCUAAUAGGCCUUAUGUUUGAUGGUACACUGAGAGGAAGCACCGGCAAACUUCGUGCCAGCAGCCGCGGUAAUACGAAGGGUGCAAGCGUUGUUCGGAUUUACUGGGCGUAAAGCGCGCGCAGGCGGAUUUGUAAGUCAGAUGUGAAAUCUCGGGGCUCAACCCCGAAACUGCGUCUGAAACUGCGAAUCUAGAAUACCAGAGAGGGAAGGGGAAUUUCACAUGUAGGGGUAAAAUCCGUAGAGAUGUGAAGGAAUACCAGAGGCGAAGGCGCCUUCCUAGAUGGAGAUUGACGCUGAGGCGCGAAAGCGUGGGGAGCAAACAGG